Molecule: ribosomal RNA, 482 nt
Filed under: Pasteurella sp. 'ARUP UnID 520'
Lineage: Bacteria; Pseudomonadati; Pseudomonadota; Gammaproteobacteria; Pasteurellales; Pasteurellaceae
Description: bacterial SSU rRNA
Rfam family: Bacterial small subunit ribosomal RNA
Source: RNAcentral
GAUUGAACGCUGGCGGCAGGCUUAACACAUGCAAGUCGAACGGUAGCAGGGAGAAAGCUUGCUUUCUUUGCUGACGAGUGGCGGACGGGUGAGUAAUGCUUGGGAAUCUGGCUUAUGGAGGGGGAUAACUGUGGGAAACUGCAGCUAAUACCGCGUAUUAUCGGAAGAUGAAAGGGUGGGACCUUCGGGCCACCUGCCAUAAGAUGAGCCCAAGUGGGAUUAGGUAGUUGGUGGGGUAAGGGCCUACCAAGCCGACGAUCUCUAGCUGGUCUGAGAGGAUGACCAGCCACACUGGGACUGAGACACGGCCCAGACUCCUACGGGAGGCAGCAGUGGGGAAUAUUGCGCAAUGGGGGGAACCCUGACGCAGCCAUGCCGCGUGAAUGAAGAAGGCCUUCGGGUUGUAAAGUUCUUUCGGUAAUGAGGAAGGGGKAUUAUUGAAUAGAUAAUAUCAUUGACGUUAAUUACARAAGAAGCACCSG